RNAcentral lists this long non-coding RNA (549 nucleotides) under Nicotiana benthamiana. RNAcentral's name for it is "long non-coding RNA (NBEN_LNC011964)". Lineage: Eukaryota; Viridiplantae; Streptophyta; Magnoliopsida; Solanales; Solanaceae. The record is from RNAcentral.
ACGUAAAUAAAAGUGAUUUUCACUAGCCACAGCAAAAAACUCGGGGGCUCUAGGAUCUCUUAAAGAAUCUGAUUUUGCAACAAAAGCAGAAAUUGACACGCUGCCUUCCUUUGAGAACUUUACAGCAUUGCCAACGACGUUUAAUAGAAUUUGCAUUAACUGUUGUUCGUCCCCAAUAAGGUUGUAUCCGGUUCCGGUUUUGGGUCUAGACGAGGUUUAAUAGAAUUUGCAGUAACCGUUGUUCAUCCCCAAUUACAUAUUCUGGCAAAUCUGCAGACAAACUAAGUGUGACGAACAGCUUUUUCACAGAUGCAAUAGGCUUGAUUAAGUUAAGGACCUACAGCAAUAAGCAGACACAUAAAUCAGUCAGUCACGUCCAGCAAAAUAUCAGUAAUGUAUUAAACAGAUCUACAACUCUUUGUUUUCUAUUUUUCACAGAUAACCUAGAACUUGGCAAGAAACAAAAGAAGAAAGAGAGGGGGCGAGAUUAUCUCCGAAUAGAGCAUGAAGAUUAAAUGUGACAAUAUCAAGUUGAAGACUUCCAUCCUC